This is a long non-coding RNA of Myotis brandtii (Brandt's bat), 230 nucleotides long. RefSeq lists it as uncharacterized. The transcript has 3 exons. The record is from RefSeq and is a predicted model, not a curated record. Lineage: Eukaryota; Metazoa; Chordata; Mammalia; Chiroptera; Vespertilionidae.
AACAAACAUAAUAGAUUAGAGCAAAAGAGUCCUAACAAACUCAACUUCUAUUUUGCUUCUGUUGUGGCCAUCACUGAUAACAGGAAUUACAAAAGCUGAUGAAAUACGGGAUGAAGGGAGUGCUGCUGUAAUCUGGUGUAGCGGAAGGAAUGGCCACCUAGUUUCGCUUUCCAACUACAAACACCAUGGGGAUCUCGUGGUUUAAGCUAUUUGGACAGAUACAACUGUAA